UCCAUUGACUUUAAUGAAGGAUGGAUCAGGCCACAAGUCACUUAGCUGCCUUCAGUGUCUUAAGACAUGCUUUUUAAUUCCUGAGAAAAGCAACAGCAUGAACCAAACAGCUUUAGCGUCUCUCAUCUUACAGUGCAUUUUGCAAGUUCUGGAAGGAAACCUGGACACAGAGAAAAAUGCUACAGCGAAAAAUGAGCCAAAACACAAACCAUAUGACAAUGCCUAUUUCUUCAUACUCUUUGUCAUGUUGUUUUACUCUUUCCUGGCAUUAACUGUCUUUUUUGGUUAUGUUCGCUCCAAGAAAGCCAUUUCAAAGAAAGAUCCUUACCAGGAAUUCAUCGAGGAUAAGGAUCGAAGCAAGAAGUGGAACAUGACCCGGCCGGUGGUGGUGAAAUUUGACUUUGAAGAAGAAAGUAUUCUUUGAACUACUUAAACCAAAAUAUUUUGCCAAAUGCACUGGACUGUCUCUGUUGCCUACAUCUCAAAGGAAGAUCUAUGCAUUCCUCUUGAUCAGCUAUGUCCAGCACAAUAAGUCAAACCAUUGCUUAGAAAUAGGUAGUGUUAAUAUACAGUGCUACCCAGAGGCGUUCAUGAGCACAAUACUGAUUUUCAGUUGGUAUGUAGGCUCGGGUUUGUCUGAACAUGCACUAAAACUAAAGCUGAGCAAAUAAUUCUCAAUAAAUAUUUAUUUGGAGAAAUUAGUUUGCUCAUGGAGUUGCUGUGCAGAGAUGGAGUUUCCUCAGAUUUAUCUGUUAUUCACAAUUAUUUGUCAUUUUUUUCUUUUUGUGUGUGCAGAUUUUAACUCUUUGGACUGUAAAUGAAUAGGCCUUUAUUAGUUUUAGGUAUUUAAUAAUUAAGCUAUGGUGGUUAGUUGUGAUUGGUCCAAUAUGUCACAUGAUAUUACUUCUGGAUGAGCAUGCAAACACUUCUGGUGUAAAAACUCAUAUGUGCAAAUGUAUAAAUACUCACACCUGCAAUGUUGAAAUUCGCGUUCUACAAACCUUCAUGUCAGUAAAACUAGACUGAAUAAAUGGUACACACAAA
Long non-coding RNA from Trachemys scripta elegans, 1044 nucleotides. RefSeq lists it as uncharacterized. NCBI's taxonomy places the organism in Eukaryota, Metazoa, Chordata, Testudines, Emydidae. The transcript has 2 exons. The record is from RefSeq and is a predicted model, not a curated record.